AUUGAACGCUGGCGGCAGGCUUAACACAUGCAAGUCGGGCGGGGUGAUGGUGCUUGCACUAUCACUUAGCGGCGGACGGGUGAGUAAUGCUUAGGAGUCUGCCUAUUAGUGGGGGACAACAUCUCGAAAGGGAUGCUAAUACCGCAUACGUCCUACGGGAGAAAGCAGGGGACCACUUGUGACCUUGCGCUAAUAGAUGAGCCUAAGUCGGAUUAGCUAGUUGGUGGGGUAAAGGCCUACCAAGGCGACGAUCUGUAGCGGGUCUGAGAGGAUGAUCCGCCACACUGGGACUGAGACACGGCCCAGACUCCUACGGGAGGCAGCAGUGGGGAAUAUUGGACAAUGGGGGGAACCCUGAUCCAGCCAUGCCGCGUGUGUGAAGAAGGCCUUAUGGUUGUAAAGCACUUUAAGCGAGGAGGAGGCUCUUUUGGUUAAUACCCAAGAUGAGUGGACGUUACUCGCAGAAUAAGCACCGGCUAACUCUGUGCCAGCCGCCGCCGUAA
Molecule: ribosomal RNA, 503 nt
Filed under: uncultured bacterium
Lineage: Bacteria
Description: partial 16S ribosomal RNA
Rfam family: Bacterial small subunit ribosomal RNA
Source: RNAcentral